GCUGACGUAACGUCAUCUUGCGGGACGUGGACGCAAGAAAAAGGAGAGUGAGCCGGAGCCGGAGUUGGCAGGCGUGGAGUGUAGGCCGGACGGCGGCGCCGGGCGGAGGCGGUGAGGCAGCUACCUUGGUCAGUGACCACCUUGCAGUAUGUUGAGUCAAGUCUGCCGCUCUGGGUUCCAGUCCUUCACCCAGCAUCUCCUGCCCUGGGUCCAAUCCACCACACUCUCCAGAUCUGGUCACAUCCAGCCUUCGGCCAUCAGACAUGUUCGUUCUUGGAGCAACAUUCCCUUUAUCACUGUUCCCCUCAGUCGUACACAUGGCAAGUCUUUUGCCCACCGCAGUGAGCUGAAGCAUGCCAAGAGAAUCGUGGUGAAACUCGGAAGUGCCGUGGUGACCCGAGGGGACGAAUGUGGCCUGGCACUGGGGCGCCUGGCAUCUAUUGUUGAGCAGGUGUCAGUGCUGCAGAAUCAAGGACGAGAGAUGAUGCUGGUGACCAGUGGAGCCGUAGCCUUUGGCAAGCAACGCUUACGCCAUGAGAUCCUGCUGUCUCAGAGUGUGCGGCAGGCCCUACACUCAGGGCAGAACCAGCUGAAGGAGAUGGCAAUUCCAGUCUUAGAAGCCCGAGCCUGUGCAGCUGCUGGACAGAGUGGGCUGAUGGCCUUAUAUGAAGCCAUGUUUACCCAGUAUAGCAUCUGUGCUGCGCAGAUUUUGGUGACCAAUUUGGAUUUCCACGAUGAGCAGAAGCGCCGGAACCUCAAUGGGACACUUCAUGAGCUCCUCCGAAUGAACAUUGUCCCCAUCGUCAACACAAAUGAUGCUGUCGUCCCCCCAGCAGAGCCCAAUAGUGAUCUCCAGGGGGUAAAUGUUAUUAGUGUUAAGGAUAAUGAUAGCCUGGCUGCCCGUCUAGCCGUGGAAAUGAAAACUGACCUUUUGAUUGUUCUUUCAGAUGUCGAAGGCCUCUUUGACAGCCCCCCAGGGUCAGAUGAUGCAAAGCUCAUUGAUAUAUUUUAUCCUGGAGAUCAGCAGUCUGUAACAUUUGGAACCAAGUCCAGAGUGGGAAUGGGUGGCAUGGAAGCCAAGGUGAAAGCAGCCCUCUGGGCUUUGCAAGGUGGCACGUCUGUGGUCAUUGCCAAUGGGACCCACCCAAAGGUGUCUGGGCACGUCAUCACAGACAUCGUGGAGGGAAAGAAGGUUGGCACCUUCUUUUCUGAAGUAAAGCCUGCAGGCCCUACCGUGGAACAGCAAGGGGAAAUGGCUCGAUCAGGAGGAAGGAUGUUGGCCACUUUGGAACCUGAGCAGAGAGCAGAGAUUAUCUAUCAUCUGGCUGAUUUGUUGACGGACCAGCGAGAUGAGAUCCUGUUAGCCAACAAAAAGGACAUGGAGGAGGCAGAGGGAAGACUUGCAGCUCCUCUGCUGAAACGUUUGAGCCUAUCCACGUCUAAACUGAACAGCCUGACCCGAAUUGCCAAAAACUUGGAACUAGAACAAGUGACUGUCCCAAUUGGAGUGUUACUGGUCAUCUUUGAGUCUCGCCCUGACUGCCUACCUCAGGUGGCAGCCUUGGCUAUUGCAAGUGGUAAUGGCUUGUUACUCAAAGGAGGGAAGGAGGCUUCACACAGCAACCGGAUUCUUCAUCUCCUGACACAGGAGGCCCUCUCCAUCCAUGGAGUCAAGGAGGCUGUACAGCUGGUGAAUACCAGAGAAGAAGUGGAAGACCUUUGCCGCCUAGACAAAAUGAUAGAUCUCAUCAUCCCACGUGGCUCUUCCCAGCUGGUCAGAGACAUCCAGAAAGCUGCUAAGGGCAUUCCAGUGAUGGGGCACAGUGAAGGGAUCUGCCACAUGUAUGUGGAUUCAGAGGCUAGUGUCGACAAGGCCACCAGACUAGUCAGAGACUCUAAAUGUGAAUAUCCAGCCGCCUGUAAUGCUUUGGAGACCCUCUUAAUCCACCGAGAUCUGCUGAGAACACCAUUGUUUGACCAGAUCAUUGACAUGCUGAGAGUGGAACAGGUGAAGAUUCAUGCAGGCCCAAAGUUCGCCUCCUAUCUGACCUUCAGCCCCUCUGAAGUGAAGUCUCUCCGAACUGAGUACGGGGACCUGGAACUGUGCAUAGAAGUGGUGGACAGCGUGCAGGAGGCCAUCGACCACAUCCACAAGUACGGCAGCUCCCACACAGAUGUCAUCGUCACAGAGAACGAAAAGACAGCAGAGUUCUUCCUCCAGCAUGUGGAUAGCGCCUGUGUGUUCUGGAAUGCCAGCACUCGCUUCUCUGAUGGCUACCGCUUUGGACUGGGAGCUGAAGUGGGAAUCAGUACAUCCCGAAUCCACGCCCGGGGACCAGUGGGACUUGAAGGAUUGCUUACUACCAAGUGGCUGCUGCGAGGGGAGGACCACGUGGUCUCAGACUUCUCAGAGCACGGAAGCUUAAAGUAUCUUCACGAGAACCUCCCUGUUCCCCAGAGAAACACCAACUGAAAGCAUUCAGAGGAGAGCCGGACAUGUUUUGAGGGGUCUUCCCAGUUAAAAUGGUCUUCUGCACCUCAGGGGAUGGACCAGGCCUUCUUGUCUCCUGCUUCCUGGAAGGGUCUCCUGUUGGAACGUGCACCUUGAUGCUUCUGGGCUCUGUGGCAACAUCAGCCUGGGCCAAAGACUCCGUUCCAGCUUACCCUUUUCUUUCUUUCUUCCUUCUUUCCUUCCUUUCUCUCUCUUUUUCUUCCUCUCUCUCUUUCUUUCUAAGUUAGAUAACAGUCGCUGUAGUUAGGGACUUUGCUUAAUUGCUACGGAUGGGGACUUUGCCUCACAUAGUGUAAUUCCCUUCAGUGAUAGAAACAGAAAGGUGCCAUUUCCCCACAUAAAAGGCAGUGGAAAAUCAUGGUUGCUUUUUACCUUUUAUCGCCUCAAUGAGGUAAAGUCUCCCUUGGCAUUUGGUAGUUACAAGAGCCAGUCACACCUAAUAAGUCUUUCCAUGUUUCAUUUCUUUCAUACUCCUAGUCAUCUUCAAAAAGGAAAGAUUUGGAACUUAGAAGAGAGACAGCUCUUCUUUUUAGCAUUCUCAUCAUAAGCAAUCACAAAAAGGACUAAAUCAUUUGCACUGGGAAGAUUGACAUUUUGUAUUUAUUGGAGUAAAUAUAAGUAAACUCUCUGGAUCCAGGGGCUUGCCACUACCUGGACACAGUUGGAACCCAGAGCUGCAGAUAGGAGGUACAAGUUUCAGGAUGAAGUACCUGCAGCCAUUGUGCUUGAAAUUUUUUUACGAAUUAUUUUGUCAUCCUUUCCUUUCCCAAAAAAAAACAAAAAUUAGAGGAUUAUUUUAAUACUUUGGAUUCUUCCCUCCUUUUUGAGAAAUAAAGUUCUUAUGAAAAG
RNAcentral lists this long non-coding RNA (3361 nucleotides) under Sus scrofa (pig). RNAcentral describes it as "lncRNA (ENSSSCG00060059814.1)". The record is from RNAcentral. Lineage: Eukaryota; Metazoa; Chordata; Mammalia; Artiodactyla; Suidae.